AUUGAACGCUGGCGGCAGGCUUAACACAUGCAAGUCGAGCGGGGUGAUGGUGCUUGCACUAUCACUUAGCGGCGGACGGGUGAGUAAUGCUUAGGAAUCUGCCUAUUAGUGGGGGACAACAUCUCGAAAGGGAUGCUAAUACCGCAUACGUCCUACGGGAGAAAGCAGGGGAUCACUUGUGACCUUGCGCUAAUAGAUGAGCCUAAGUCGGAUUAGCUAGUUGGUGGGGUAAAGGCCUACCAAGGCGACGAUCUGUAGCGGGUCUGAGAGGAUGAGCCGCCACCCUGGGACUGAGACACGGCCCAGACUCCUACGGGAGGCAGCAGUGGGGAAUAUUGGACAAUGGGGGGAACCCUGAUCCAGCCAUGCCGCGUGUGUGAAGAAGGCCUUAUGGUUGUAAAGCACUUUAAGCGAGGAGGAGGCUCUUUUGGUUAAUACCCAAGAUGAGUGGACGUUACUCGCAGAAUAAGCACCGGCUAACUCUGUGCCAGCCGCCGCAGUAA
RNAcentral lists this ribosomal RNA (503 nucleotides) under uncultured bacterium. RNAcentral describes it as "partial 16S ribosomal RNA". It matches the Rfam family "Bacterial small subunit ribosomal RNA", at positions 30 to 523 of the family's 1533-position model. The record is from RNAcentral.